Molecule: ribosomal RNA, 119 nt
Filed under: Musa acuminata subsp. malaccensis (wild Malaysian banana)
Lineage: Eukaryota; Viridiplantae; Streptophyta; Magnoliopsida; Zingiberales; Musaceae
Source: RNAcentral
GGGUGCGAUAAUGCCAGCACUAAAUCACCGGAUCCCAUCAGAACUCCGAAGUUAAGCGUGCUUGGGCUAGAGUAGAACUAUGAUGGGUGACCCCCUGGGAAGUCCUCGUGUUGCACUCC